This 439-nucleotide ribosomal RNA is filed under the name uncultured Tissierella sp. Its description in RNAcentral is "bacterial SSU rRNA". It matches the Rfam family "Bacterial small subunit ribosomal RNA", at positions 338 to 795 of the family's 1533-position model. Lineage: Bacteria; Bacillati; Bacillota; Tissierellia; Tissierellales; Tissierellaceae. The record is from RNAcentral.
CCUACGGGUGGCUGCAGUGGGGAAUAUUGCACAAUGGAGGAAACUCUGAUGCAGCGACGCCGCGUGAACGAUGAAGGCUUUCGGGUCGUAAAGUUCUGUCCUAGGGGACGAUAAUGACGGUACCCUAGGAGGAAGCCCCGGCUAACUACGUGCCAGCAGCCGCGGUAAUACGUAGGGGGCGAGCGUUGUCCGGAUUUAUUGGGCGUAAAGGGUUCGCAGGCGGUCUCUUAAGUUAGAUGUGAAAGAUCACGGCUCAACCGUGGUAAGCAUUUAAAACUGGGAGACUUGAGUUAAGGAGAGGAAAGUGGAAUUCCUAGUGUAGCGGUGAAAUGCGUAGAUAUUAGGAGGAAUACCAGUGGCGAAGGCGACUUUCUGGACUUAUACUGACGCUGAGGAACGAAAGCGUGGGGAGCAAACAGGAUUAGAUACCCUAGUAGUC